Populus nigra (black poplar) is the source of this 2746-nucleotide long non-coding RNA. RefSeq lists it as uncharacterized. The record is from RefSeq and is a predicted model, not a curated record. The transcript is spliced from 2 exons. NCBI's taxonomy places the organism in Eukaryota, Viridiplantae, Streptophyta, Magnoliopsida, Malpighiales, Salicaceae.
ACAGAGCGUGAAUAUCCUUCGUGCCGCUCUUGUUCCGUUGCGGGCAUACAGCAAUUCCCAUGAUUCCUUCCAUUGAUCUUUGCAAGCAGAUUGAUUCUCUCUCUUGCAGUUGCAUGAAAGGUGUUAUACAUCUCCAUCAUUAUUUUCUUGUUGUUUUAGAAACUUUUGCUUUUCAAAAUAUGGCCGAUCCAAUGGGCUCUCGCUUAAAAAAUGGCAGAAAUGCGCGAGAGCUCAAUUUCACCCGGCCUAGAGUUGAAUAAUGGGGCAGCCUCAAGGUUUUUACAUGUUUUCUCACUCGUGUUUUAAUUCAGGAAAUUGCCCUAAAUAUUUCUUUCAUUAUUUCCUCUUUUUUCAAAUCCAAACAUUUAUUGACCAUGGCUACUCUUAUAGAUCUGAGCCCCCCUUUUUUUAUUUUCUGGAUUUGUUCAGCUCUUCAGUAUAUUAAUGGAUUCUCGCCCUCGUAUAAUCAUAAUUUUUGCUAGAGCUGUUUUGACUUCAGUCAUGUCAAAGUUUUGCAGCACGUCUUUAACUUUCCUCUGCAGACAGUUGCUAAUCUUGAGGAUUAGACUCAGUAAAAUGAGUAGAUGCGGAGUAGGAUUGCUUCCAAUCUGGUUACCUGAAAACUCGAUGUCCGAGUCAAGGAUCAUCAAUGGCAAACCCCAAAAAUGACGGGAGCUAAGUUUUCCACUGCUGUUGAAGAAACCAACUAAACAUCGACUUCCCUAAAAUCAGGUGAAAAAGAAGAAACAUGGAUAAAUUGGGCAAAUAAAUGAUGAAAAUGACUUUAAAUCAAAAGGUUACUUUUUGAUGAAAUAACAUUUUUUUUAAUGGGUUUUUUUAAAAAAAAAUUAUGAUAAAAUUUUAAUUAUAUCACAUUUCAACAUUUCAAAAUCAUGAUAACAAUGAAUUAGUUUAUUAUAAGGAUAAUCUAGACAACUUUCAAAAUUGCUAAAACCAGGGAUCAAAACUGUUAGCUAUACAAAAUUUGUUAAAAUCAGAGUUUUAGGACACAUUUUUAAAAUUUAAAGGUUUAAUAGUCAGUUUGGUGAUUUUAAAAAUUCAAUAAUGGUUAGAGUAGUGAUUUUAUAGUUGCUUUUAAAAAAUUAAUCUUUAAAAAUUUACAUGCGAUUAAAUAAUUAUAUAAAAAUAUUAUGGUUUUUUUAAGUUGAUAUUUUGUUGGUGUGACUAAAUCUUCUUUAAAACUUAAAUCUAUUUUAUUGGUCUAUAAAUAAAUAGAUAUGAUAAAUUAUUUUUAUAAUUUAUCUAAGAUAUAUCUUUAUUUAGAUAUAAUAGAUCAUGUUGUGAUUACUUUUUAAAAUUUUAAUUGAAGUUUGUUUUUUUUAGUUUAUUUAUAUUUUUAUUUAUAAAAUAUAUUUAAAAAAAAAUCAAAAAAUUAUGGUUUUUAUAUAAAAAGAUUGAUGGGUUAUACAAUUAUAUUCAACCGUUCGAUGAUAAUUGUGCUUUAAAAGGACAACAUAUUUAAAUGUUGAUAUUCAAAAACGCGAUCAUUAUGACAAUUAUCAUAAUAAUAUUUAAUAAAUAUUAUAUUUUAAAAAAUAAUAAGAUAAAAAGAUACUAUUUCACUACAUCUUUUUAAAUUGUAUUAUCCUAUGAAAGUUUCAAUUUACUAUGCAAUUAAAACAAGAAUUCCAAGAAACAGUUCAACAGCUACUAAAAUGGUUGUAAUGUCUCUUUGGACAUUGUUGGCUUGCAAUGGAAUUACACUUUGUGCCCAAAAGGCUACCAUUGGCAAAUGUACAGAAAAGCAUGUUUCAUGGUUGAAAGUUGAAACAAAAUCCAAGACCAAUUAACUGGUCUUGCUAGGAAAAUCUCAAAUUGAGUAAGGAAAGAUGAAGCAUCUGGUUCCCUUGCAAGUCCACUAUCUGUUGCAUGUCAGAUCAGAGGAAAGCUAGCUCAGAUGUCAUCUCCAAAAUGAAGAAGAUAAGACAUCAUCCUCCACUUGGAACAUGAACUGAAGUCACCAAAGAAAUUAAUGCUUGUAUACAUUCUGUUCAGUGCUCUCCAGAAAAGUUUCAUGUCAAUUGUAGUAUGGUACUGAUAUUCAGCCUUGAGUGGAAAUCCAGAGAAGCGAGCUCGAUGUUCUAGUUUGGCAUCCGUUGAAAGACUGCAGUUUAUCCGCGUUCAAAACUAUAAACCACCAAGUUCAGUUUCUUGAUUAUACCUUCAACUCUUAAAGACAUGGAUCCUUCAUGUUCCCAGAGAUCUUUGAGAAUCAUGCAUAGCUGUUGUUGGAAUGCUGCAGAUCGUUCUCUUUCGCGCUGAAGCUCAUCAUAUAUGCCCUGGAUCUUCUUAUCCUUUUCCUUCUGCAAACAUGGUUGAACAUAUCGAAGUUAGGCGAGUGAAGAGAAGGAAAAUCUUGGAAGAAUCCAGUACUGGAAUCUCAUCAUAAAUACAAUUUCACAAUCAAAGAUAUUUCCUGUAUGGCAUGCUACAAUGUCACAUUGUUCAAUCUUGGAGCCUUCAAGAUGAGGAACUGUGCUAUAUGUAUCGUUUCAGUAGGUUUAACGCACCUGUAACAUAUCUUUAAGUUUCGUCCAUAGGGUAAGCAUCCUCCCCACCAUUUGCGAAGCAGACAAGUACCACUCUAGCUUAAAUGCAAGUUUAAAGCUUUGCAAUCUUUUUAUAGGCAGACAAUAAUUACUAACUCACUCGAAGAACUUGUAUACAUGGAGUUAUCCCCAAUUUAAUUACAAAUGCAAAUAACACUGUUUUUGUAUUUUUCAAA